CUACUACGUUGAGAGAGUAGCACGAGGAUGGUAGUAGCGAAAAGACAAGUUCUUUUGGUGUAAGAAAAGAGUAGUAUAAAAAAAAAAAAAGAGAAGUAGUAUAAGCCAAGGUAGUAAAGAAAACAGUAAAAGCUGAUGAAGAGACAUCAGGAAAGAAAUAUCACAAGUUUAUUAAACUAUCCUCUCUCACUCUCGAUACGCCAGAGAUACCAGCUGUGAACGAGUGUUUUGUGGAGAUGUUAGCAGCAAGAGUCAUCGUAGAAUCUGUUAUCAGCGGAUGAUAGCAAAACUUGGUCUGAUUUCAAAUAAGUUAUAUGAAAAAGGAUCUAUACCAAAGAAUGUGUCACAGAUUGCUUCGAUUUGUUAUGAUGUGUUAUUGUAAAAGUAUCCAGCCAAAGUGAGGAAGAGCCCUCACCUUUGAUUGCCACUGAACUUGGAGAUCUGCUGCAACCAUAAAAGCUGGACUUAGUCCACCGUUUGGUCUGGUUUUUUGCCUGCUUUGACCUUUGUAGAUGCUGCUGCUGCAACUACUCCGGUGACGAACAUGCCUGGUGCUGUCAGCAAAACUCUGAAACCAUGUCCUAUGCUGACCAAAAGUGUUCCAGUAAACACCACAUGAGUGAGUGAUUAGUAGCAUUGUUGUUUCCUGUUUUUGGUUAUCUUCACCACAGGAAAAAACUAAAUUUUCUGCAAGUUGAAUUUUUAAUGUUUCUGAUGAAUCUCUUGCCUCUUCUUUGGUAAAAAAUAUUUUGGCAAUUGUUUUUAAUUAAUUAGUCCUACUUUUUGCUCUACAUUGUUGGGAUCUGGUGGUGUUUCAGUCAAGAAACCCACCCAACCUUUAGUCUUUUCUGUGACAAGCCAAUGACUCCUGGAAAAUGCUAUAUGGUUGCACAGAGGCUUGGUGACUACCUGAUUGAAUCAGGGCUCUGAAACUCAAGUUGCUGCUAUGUUCAUGACAUCAAUAUUGUCUUCAUAUUGAGAGGAAAACUAUUUAUAUUAUGAAAUGUGAUUGAUCAUUUUAAUAUUCAAACUAUGUCUUACCUUCUAUCAUGCUAUGGAUCUCGGGAUUGUAUGAUUCUAAAGCAGACUGGUAUUGUUUUCAUUUGUGUUAAGUUGAAAAUAUAAAUAGUUGAGUUCUCGAGAUUUGA
Molecule: long non-coding RNA, 1148 nt
Organism: Raphanus sativus (radish)
Lineage: Eukaryota; Viridiplantae; Streptophyta; Magnoliopsida; Brassicales; Brassicaceae
Exons: 3
Source: RefSeq, a predicted model, not a curated record